Molecule: long non-coding RNA, 4697 nt
Filed under: Hordeum vulgare
Lineage: Eukaryota; Viridiplantae; Streptophyta; Magnoliopsida; Poales; Poaceae
Description: long non-coding RNA (HVUL_LNC011938)
Source: RNAcentral
ACAUGUGCUCGCUAUCCGGGCGGCUCGUUCACGUCUUGAGAUGUGGCGCAUUCAAUAACGCAGGAAUAUUCGAGAGACCAAAUAUUGAUGGGAAAUAGAGAAUACGUACAGUUACCGUUACCUCGUCGGAGUUGAUCCGUGGCUCGGGACGACCGCCGCCGUCCUGAUCCGUGGAACAGGAAAAACUGUUUCCGUCUGCCGUCUGAGCAGCGGGCUUGGUUGCUGCCUUCGAUCCAUUCGCUCGAGGCCGCCGUGCCAAGGAUCCGUGCCGGCGUGCGAAGGAGCAUCUCGAAAUCUGGCUCCUGGAGCUCGUGAUGCAGCCAGUAAAAAGGUAUGCGCCAAAAACAUUGAUGUGUUCCAUCAAUCUUGUUGACGUAUUCACUGAUUAGAUCAGCGCUCCAUUGCCAUCGGAAAAUCCCAAUGCAGCCCGUCGAUUGGAUUUUUUUUUGUUUAUCUGCUAUUCGUCCGUCCUCGAUCUUUCUUCAUUUUGGUUGGAUUGUUUCUUGUCGACACCAGAUCCACUUUUGACGAAGGAGGCCGAUGAAAGUACAACGCUGAAAGGACGUGUAUGUCGCCUAGAGGGGGUGAAUAGGGGCUUUAAAAUAAUUACGGUUUAGGUUUGAAUAAAUGCGGAAUAAAACUAACGUUUAAUUUGUCAAGCACAAAACCUAAAAUAACUAGGCUCACCUAUGUGCACCAACAACUUAUGCUAAGCAAGAUAAACAACUAAGUGAUAGCAAGAUAUAUGAUAAUACACAAUAUAGCUAUCACAAAGUAAAGUGCAUAAGUAAAGGGUUCGUGUAAGAGAUAACCGAGCACGCGGAGACGAUGAUGUAUCCCGAAGUUCACACCCUUGCGGAUGCUAAUCUCCGUUGGAGCGGUGUGGAGGCACAAUGCUCCCCAAGAUGCCACUAAGGCCACCGUAAUCUCCUCACGCUCUCGCACAAUGCAAGAUGCCGUGAUUCCACUAAGGGACCCUUGAGGGCGGUCACCGAACCCGUACAAAUGGAAAACCUUGGGGGCGGUCACCGAUACCCGUACAAAUUGCUCGGGGCAAUCUCCACAACCUAAUUGGAGACCCCGACGCUUGCCCGGAGCUUCACACCACAAUGAUUGAGCUCCGAGACACCACCAAGCUUCUAGGACGCCAAAGCAUCCACGAAGAACAAUAUCUAGGGUACUAAGUACCAAAGGUAAUAAGCUUCUCAACUUCUCACUUCCACGUAUCACCGUGGAGAACUCAAACCGAUGCAACUAAUGCAAUGACAACAACACAUGAAGUGGUCAAGUCCCUCACACUCAAAACCCUCCACAACAACAAAAGCUAUGGAGAGAUAUGAGAGGAAGAACAAGGAGCUCACAAAGAACUCCAAGAUCUAGAUCCAAGGGGUUCCCCUCACAUAGAGGAGAAAGUGAUUGGUGGAGAUGUGGAUCUAGAUCUCCUCUCUCUUUUCCCUCAAGGACAAGCAAGAAUCAUUGGAGGGAUUGAGAGUAAGCAAGCUCUAAGAAUGUCCACAAUGGAGGUAGAACAUUAGCUCAACGGAUGGAUAAGGCCAAGGGGAAGAAGACCCCCUUUAUAUAGUGGGGGAAGGAAUCAGACCGUUACCCCCACUUACAGCCCGAGUCCAGCGGUACUACCGCUGACCCUCCAACGGUACUACCGCUGGCUGCUGCGGUACUACCGCUGAGCCCAUGGUAGCGCAAAGAUACUACCGGGCCAACCACCGCCAAGAAAGUCUUCGCAAAAAGUCCGACGUAGUACAACCGCAAAGAUGACGGUACUAAAGUUCUGGAGCGGUUCUACCGCUGACCAGGGGCGGUAGUACCGCUGGGACAGCGGUACUACCGCCAGCUCUAGCGGUACUACCGCUAGGGUCAGCGGUACUACCGCCAGCUCUAGCGAUACUACCGCUAGGGCCAGCGGUACUAGGUCCAGCGGUACUACCGCUCGCCACUGAAACAACCAUAACUUUCGCAUACGAGCUCCGAAUCGAGCAAACCCAUACUUGUUGGAUUCAGGACGACAAGAGCUAUCCAAACAGCGACUGAAAAUCUUAAGACCAUGCUGAUAUGAAAAUGCCAAUGAUCUAGAGAUGUGAGACCUCUAUGAAUGAAGAACCGGCAAAAGCUCCAACAUCGAAAACAUUAUAGUAGAUGCAUAUGGACUCCGUUUUCGAUGAACUCGAGCUUGUCAUGAAGAUGACCAUAAGCUCUAAAACUCACAAAGAGAAACACCAAAUAAGAAUCAAGAAGUAUGAUGCAAGGAUGCACAUGGUUUGAGCUCUCAACGAACGAUACGAUCAAGCUAAUCACUUGAGAGCCCCUUUGACAGUACAAAUUCUAUCCUAAACAGAAAACCUAUCAAGGGCAAACCUAUACCUUGCACCUCGACCUCUUGAGCUAGAUGAUGAUGAUCUUGGCUUCCUCAAGAUGGACCACCUUUCUUGAUUGCGUUGGCUUGAUGAGGACUAGUUGAUUGCUCCCCCAUACUCACUAUGGGUGAGCCACUCUUCAGCAUACCUUCACAAGUCCAUUGCCACCACAAUGGACGGCAAGUUUUAAGCACGAUAUAUUCGUGCUGAUCCUCUUGAACCUGCACACCGCAAUCUUGAUGACUAUCACCACUUGACGUCAUCCUUCAUGGGUUGUAUGAGAUCUUCCUUUUGACGCAAGCCCAUGGAAACACACCUAACCCACACAUAUAACUCUCACGAAGACCAUGGGUUAGUACACAAACACGUAAUGGACAAUGCUUACCAUACCAUGGGAUCACUUGAUCCCUCUCGGUACAUCUUGCACGCUUUGUGUGUUGCAUCUUGAUUUACUCUUUGUCUGAGAUCUUGAUCAACCUUGUGUCUCUAUGACCAUUCUUUGAAUAAUACCUUGAAUACCAUCUUGGUCAUCAUAUAAACUCCUUGAACCAACAGAUGGACUUCAAGAAGUGCCUAUGGACAAAUCCUAUAAAUAUAACUUAAGGCAACCAUUAGUCCAUAGGAAUUGUCAUCAAUUACCAAAACCACAUAUGGAGAUAUAUGCUCUAACAAGCGCUGACGGCUCUGCCGGCUUUCGGGACGGCAGGCUCUGUGCGGGAACGUGAUGAGACGACGGCCGUAGCCUUGACCGAAGGCCCACUAAUCUGUGAAGAAGAAACAGGCGUGGACUCAAGAUGGGAGGGCUGGCCACAGGUGCUGGAGAUGUCGACCGACAAGAUGAAACCAGCCACAAGCGCCAGGGGUGGGGGUGGUGCUCUGAACCAAAGAAUACAUUAUGAGUUUCACAAUCAGCGUAAAUUACAAAAUACUUGCAUAGAACUAUCAUAUUCUUCGUUACAAUAGAGGUGUGAGUGAACUGAUUUGUACAAUUUAGUCAUGAAAUGGUGAACAUGACCAACUUAUAAGUGUGGAUUAUGGGUUAGUGAAGUGUUGGAAAAAACUAGUUGGGCUAAUUGUAAAUCUAUGCCUUGAUCUAAUUUCACUCUAUGUAAUUUAUGUGCAGUACGUAAAAAAAUGUUUAAUUGUUUGCACUGGUAAUUUGCAGGCCAAUCGAGUGCAGAACACACGUUCCUGUCGUUCGGAAGGUCCUGCUCUGAUUCGGUUGCUAAGAUCAGAGGACAAUGGCUGGUACAUCACAGAACAUAGAGAGCCACAAUUGUUCAAUGUUCCAGGUGAGUCGUGGCUCAUCAUGUCGCGUAGCGUUACGAGCCGUGGAGCAGGAAAACCACUUUUCGGUUAGUGGGAGUUAUUGCUUUGAGCAAUGAGGGUGGUGGAUGUUGUCGAUUCGUUGGUGUAGCCGCUUGAUUCUUUGAUUGGUGACACAAAGGAGCUUGCAGCACAACUGUCUUGGGUAGGCGACUACGUCAUAAAGGCGAUGGAGUUCUUGAUGCAACUAAUUAAGAGGUAAGCCUUGGUUUCUCUUAUCUGCAGUUGGGUCUAAUGUGGUGUGACCUUCUCUGAGAUCAAUUUCCCCUGCGUGCACCUGUCAUAGUAGAUUCACUGUGUUGGAGGAGGUCAAUGAAAGUGUGCCUCGAUCUCGAUGGCUCCGCUACAUUUCUCUGUGGCUGCGUCCGUUGGCAAAGCUGGACCAAGCACCGGUGUCAGCCAUUUGUAGGCAUAAGCGGUGGUGGCUGCAGAAAGUGAAAGCUCGCCUCAAUCGUCCAAGCAGUCCACCGACAAGAUGAACCUGCAGGCACCUGGAUAGACUCUUGGUAUGUUCGUAAUUACAAAAUCCAUUUUAUGUCUUUUCAAAAGAUGAACCUGCAUGCACCUGGAUAGACUCGUAGGUAUGUUCGUAAUUACAAAAUCCAUUUUAUGUCUUUUCAGAUGGUUAAUUGGUGCUAGUUGCAACUGUGCUAUUGGGUAGCGGUGAUUCAUUUAAAAUAGAGUCUCCUUGUCCAAGAUUUAGGAUGCCAGGAGUUUGUUUUAUGUUAGUCAUUGGAUCUUGGGUGGCUAUUGCCCGAUGAUCGUUUCUCCACAAUCUCACUCGUCUGUUGAAAUUUGGUGCGGCUGGAUGUUCUUUGUGUCGCUCUUUAUCUGUUUCCGAGUCUUUAGUGUGUCGAGUUUGUGGGGGAUAUGUGUUCUUGGCCAUACGAUCCAGCACGGUUCUUGGAAUUAGCAUAAUUAUUGGUGGAUUGUUGCAUACUCGUGGACCCUUCUUCCUGCCUCAUGUAAUUACGGAGUUUCUCAUUGAGGGCAAAAGGG